RNAcentral lists this ribosomal RNA (497 nucleotides) under uncultured bacterium. RNAcentral's name for it is "partial 16S ribosomal RNA". It matches the Rfam family "Bacterial small subunit ribosomal RNA", at positions 28 to 507 of the family's 1533-position model. The record is from RNAcentral.
GAUGAACGCUGGCGGCGUGCCUAAUACAUGCAAGUCGAGCGAACGGACGAGAAGCUUGCUUCUCUGAUGUUAGCGGCGGACGGGUGAGUAACACGUGGAUAACCUACCUAUAAGACUGGGAUAACUUCGGGAAACCGGAGCUAAUACCGGAUGAUAUUUUGAACCGCAUGGUUCAAAAGUGAAAGACGGUCUUGCUGUCACUUAUAGAUGGAUCCGCGCUGCACUAGCUAGUUGGUAAGGUAACGGCUUACCAAGGCAACGAUGCAUAGCCGACCUGAGAGGGGGAUCGGCCACACUGGAACUGAGACACGGUCCAGACUCCUACGGGAGGCAGCAGUAGGGAAUCUUCCGCAAUGGGCGAAAGCCUGACGGAGCAACGCCGCGUGAGUGAUGAAGGUCUUCGGAUCGUAAAACUCUGUUAUUAGGGAAGAACAUAUGUGUAAGUAACUGUGCACAUCUUGACGGUACCUAAUCAGAAAGCCACGGCUAACUACGUG